GACGAACGCUGGCGGCGUGCUUAACACAUGCAAGUCGAACGGAAAGGCCCUGCUUUUGUGGGGUGCUCGAGUGGCGAACGGGUGAGUAACACGUGAGUAACCUGCCCUUGACUUUGGGAUAACUUCAGGAAACUGGGGCUAAUACCGGAUAGGAGCUCCUGCUGCAUGGUGGGGGUUGGAAAGUUUCGGCGGUUGGGGAUGGACUCGCGGCUUAUCAGCUUGUUGGUGGGGUAGUGGCUUACCAAGGCUUUGACGGGUAGCCGGCCUGAGAGGGUGACAGGACACAUUGGGACGGAGAUACGGCCCAGACUACACCGGGAGGGAGCGGUGGGGAAUAUUACACUAUGGGCGGAAGCCUGAUGCAGCAACGCCGCGUGCGGGAUGACGGCCUUCGGGUUGUAAACCGCUUUCGCCUGUGACGAAGCGUGAGUGACGGUAAUGGGUAAAGAAGCACCGGCUAACUACGUG
RNAcentral lists this ribosomal RNA (468 nucleotides) under uncultured bacterium. RNAcentral describes it as "partial 16S ribosomal RNA". It matches the Rfam family "Bacterial small subunit ribosomal RNA", at positions 28 to 507 of the family's 1533-position model. The record is from RNAcentral.